Molecule: long non-coding RNA, 2231 nt
Organism: Lepisosteus oculatus (spotted gar)
Lineage: Eukaryota; Metazoa; Chordata; Actinopteri; Semionotiformes; Lepisosteidae
Source: Ensembl
GGAGGACACCGGAAUAAGAAGAGGAGCACCUCACGACGUAAACAAAAUGUGGAACAAGCAGGUAGUUGUUGCUUUUGCUCUCCUUUGUGGCGAGAAAGAAAAGAAGAGGAUACGCCGAAAAACUUGGAGUAGAUCACAUUUGUUUGGUCAUGAGCAAUACGGUUUGACUGUUCUUCAGCUAGAAUUGAAGAUCCAAAACUCCACCGGUUGUCUCCAUAUCCAAAGAAGAACUGGACUCUGGAGGUUCCCAAGAAUAUAAUCUAAUUAAAGGAUACAUCUGCAUUUUUUAUGGGACUUUCUAAAUCACUUGCACAGUUUUAAUAAAUAUAAAGUUUCUUGUGUUUUGCUAUUAGACAACUACUGUAUGUCUUGCAGUGUUAACCUAAAUGUUGAUGUAAAUCUAGUUAUACUGCAGCCAACUUGUAGUGUAGGAAACAUUAAUAUAUCCAACAUAAUUCUGUUAAGAUAAUGUGAUAUGCAGUUGCUAGCAGCCUUAUCACCCUACAACUGAUAACCCACUGAAGCUAAGCAAGCGUGUGUCUGGUCAGUAUGUGCAUGGGAGACCUCCUGGGAAAAACCCACUGUGGUCUGUGUGGGUCCUAAUGCCCCAGUAUGGUGACAGGGAUACUGUACUGUAAAAAGGUGCCAUCCUGUGAAUGAGAUGUAAAACUGAGGUCCUGACUCUGUAUUGUCAUUGUUAAAUGUGGUCAUUUUAAUCAUUUGUGUUUGCUAAUUAUAAUUGGAAUAUACAGUAGUGACGGAGAAAUAUAAAAGUAAAGUGUAUUGUGUUAUCAUUUUUAAUUUGGUGGAUUAUAUGGUAUCAGAACAAAUACAAAUGUGAAUAGUAUUAUUCAAAUACUAGGUAUUCUAAUGAGUACUGUUAUGAAAAUGGCGUGCUCUAAAUUCAAAAUUGGAUGUACAAGAGGAAGUUCUUCCACAUCAUGAUAAACAAAAAAACUUUCACAUCAAACUUUGACAAGAAAAUUCAAAACCAUAAUAAUAAACGGUAAUUAUUACAAUUUCUCAAAGACAUUUGCAGUGUUAGCCUAUAGACCUUUCUAGUACCAACAAAGAGAAACAUUAAACAAAGGACAAGUAAAAAUUAUUAUAGAUCAACUUUUGACGUAAGGUGUGACAAGAUAGAAAAAACAAUCAAGCUUGACAUAAAGAGGGCCUUGAGAAUGCAAAAUCAUCGGAACAGCAAUUGUGUUUAAUUUGAUACAAACAUUUGUUCAUCUUAGUAUAUCCCUGAAAGAACAGAAAGACGAGUUUGGUACCUGUGCUUUUCUACUCCUUUCAUAAAUAUUAUUUUGAAUUUAGUGAUUGGUAUCCGAUUGUUCAUAUCUAUGUAACGAAAUUAAGUAUUUUAGAGUGCAUUAAACACAGAAUUGGAGGCAAAUUUGCACACAUUGGGCUGUAUGAGUCUGGAGUCAGCCAUGUUGAUGUAGCUGAUACACUGUCCUCUUUUGAAAAAUGGCUGCAUGAGGUUCUUGGAUCAAUUAGCGACUAAAACCAAAUGAGCUAGAAGAGCCAGAUGGCCUCCUCUCAUCUGUAAACAUUCUUACGCUCCUGUGUUUUUGUGUAUGGCUCAUGCAUUCAUCAAGACAUCAAGACAAGACAACCUCAUCCAUCGUACACAUGUGUAGAAUAUAAAUUAAAUGAUAUAUAAUAUUUUACAAAAAAUGGUAAUUGUACCUUAUUUGUAUACAUUAAAAUAUCUGCUAUCCCAAACACAGAAUAUUUCAGAAAAAUCUGAAUGUAAAACAAGAUGCAAGCUAUUAUUUAUGUUGAGAAAAAUGUCCUCGGGUUAUAUUUCUAGUUCACAAUGGUCUAAAUCAUAGAGUUUAAGGAAAGUGAAUAGGUUUAUGGUGUGGGAAAUAUGUCAAAUAUUUCAAACAUAAUCUUCUACUUAUUUGUAUAGAGUGGGAGAGCUGUAUAAGCUGUUGCAGGUUGCAAAAGAAAAAGAAGAAGCUAAUUCUAUGCUGCAAAGUAAUGUAAGACAGCAAAAUAUGCAUUUCACCUUUGAAGUCUUCAUGCAUUUCAUAGAAUUAAACCUCAUUUGUUACUUCCAGUACUCCUUUUCCUUGUUUAUUUUUAAUAGAAUCUCUUCCAUUAUGUUUUUAAACAGGUUUUUGCUCCCCUUUCUUUUUAAACCUCUCUCACACUGGUUGAUAUCCAUUUAAUAUUUUAUUUAGAAAAAAAUGUAAAACCAUUUCCUGUUUCUUGAGAUA